AAGUCUAUUUUCUGAGCAUUUUGGCAGAACACCAUUAUGUACGCCUGCAUAUUCUCAAGAACUGUCAUCCGAAGACGACAAUGACAAGGUAGAAGGUGCAUGUGGCGCCGUAAUGGAAAACCGCAUCGGGUCCUUCGUUUCUGGGCAGCCUGCGGAAUCAAGCAAUGGCUCCACUGACGAUGAUGGUAAUGACGGUGAUGCGUUUUCACAGGAUGAUAGCAUCCGACGUUUCCACGAAUCUGGCUGUGGGUGUGCUAAGAAAUACCACGAGAAAUUGGAUGCCUCCCAAAUCAUAGCGCACAUCCUUGACACGCUGGAAAUGACGAGGGAAGAAAAAGAAAUGUACAUUAAAGGCUGUUUGUCCGAAGGUCCCAAAAAUGACUCUACAAAGCGUGGGAAAAAGAUAAUUUGAAUUCGUGGAAAAUACACAUUCCGCGGUAAGGAAUAUACGUUCAGAAUGUUGUUUGACAUAGGACGCUUUGCAUUAAAAUCAAUAAGGCAGUCAUUAAACAAGACCGGCCCGGGACCACGCCGGCAUGGAAAUACUGGAAGAAAACCAAAAAAUGCUCUGGUCUUCACAGAUGUCGAGCGUGUGGUCCAAUUCAUCUGCAACUAUGCGGAAGAAUUCGGAAUUCCACAACCUGCAGCUCCACGUGGGAGAGACGAUACGGCACCGAUAUACCUACAAAGCGGUACAACGAAAAUGAACAUUCAUAAGCUGUACAGAGCAAGCUGUCAAGAGGCUGGUGUGCGUUUCGUAGAAAAAGCUUCUUUAAGUCAAUAUGGAGUGCCUGCAUCCCACAUAUAAAGGUUGCAUCCCCUAGAGACGAUGUGUGCGCGACCUGUGAGAAGUUGCGAAAGAAGAUUAUGGAUUCAGUAUCGAAAGAGGACAAACUAGCUUUCACUGAAGAAAAUGCAUAGUCAUACUGUUUUGGCACAAAAAGGAAGAGACCUUUACAACAGUCUCAUUAAAAAAGCAAAAGAAACGUCACAUCUAUGUCCAGAUGAACGAUCAAACCACUUCACAUUUGAUUUCGCGCAAAGUGUAGGUAUACCGCAACAUGCACGACAGAUGGGGCCACUAUAUUUCGCAUCGUUAAGAAAAGUCCACAUUUUCGGAAUGAGAAUUGAUGGACAAUCACGCCAAUUGAAUUUUCUUAUCGACGAAAAUGAGAGCAUCGGUGCAGAUGGAACUAAUGCCCAGGGACCAAACGCUGUCAUCUCGGUGAUAGACUACGUGCUCAACACCCAUGGAUGCGAAGACCUGUCGUGCACAAUACACGCUGAUAAUUGUCCGGGAGAGUUGAAUUUUCAUCGUGAUCAUUAUAAUUUCAUUUUCCGUUUUAAACAUAAUAUAAUGUUAUGAUAAUAUUGGAAUAAUUUUAUUGGUUAUAUUUAUCGUGAUAAUAGUAAAGCGAAUCAUAAAUGAUCAUAGCAUAUGAUAUUACAUUGAUUUUAAAAUCAAUGAUGAUUGAAGUGUGCUGAUUGAUCAUGACGACGACGACAACGAUGGUGGUAAAAAAAGGUGAUUAUGGUAAUAAUGGUGAUGUUGAUGCUGAUGACGAUGAAGAUGAUGAUCGUGAAGUGAACGAUGACUGAUGAAUAUGAUCUUGAUAUCUUGAUUAAAGUUAUUGUUGUUGCUUUCAGGUCAAAACAAAAAUCAGUUUGUGCUUGGGUACUUCGCAUGGCGAGUCCUGACACGGCGUCACACUUCAUAAACUUCAUUAAGAAUAACAGGUUCCCGGUCAUUCACGGUGUUUGGUGGAAAGUGGGUUCGCCCAUAUUGAAAAGCUGUACAGACGCUCGGACCGUGACAGCAUUCAGCAGUUAGAUGAUAUUGUCAACAAGUCGUCUACUGCAAACGAGGCUGUCUGAUAUCCGACCUGGCGCUGGCGUGACUGGAAGACUUUCUUGUCUACAUCUUUUUAAGCAAUACCCGGGAUAAGGAAGUACCAGUACUUCAGGUUCGACUCAUCGAGGCCCGGCACGGUUUUCGCGAAGAAAGCAACGGACCAACCAGAGGAAGAGUUCUUCAACAUGAAACACAGGGAACUUCCCUCAGCAGAACCGUGCUUAAUUAAACCGGCAGGGCUAUCAGAGAAUCGCGUGAAAUACCUUUACAAAACUGGCCGACCAUUUGUGGACAUUACCUGUCCAACACCCACAGACUGAUUGCAUGUUAUUACAUCAUGUAUGAAACAUCAUCCUAAACAGUCAUUUUAAUCCAUGAGCAGGUUUAUGAAGGGUUUCCAACAAUUUAUUGUAAAAUUAGAACAAGUGUUUGAUAUUGCGAAAUAUUUACAUGCUGUAAACGUCAUAAAUGCGUCAUUCUGAAUGAAAAUGACGCGACGUCAACAUCUUUGUUGCGUUACAGUAUGCGUAUAUAAAGUUAUCAUAGCAACGCUAAAUAGUGGCGUACACAUGUAAUGUAUACAUCAUUGGUUUCGUGGAUGAACGUACAAUAUAAAACUGCAAAAACCUAAAAAUGUAUUAUUUUGUCAUUAAUGCAGAUUUUGUCGUGGAACGGCUCAUAUAUUUAUUAAUAUUGAAGUUUCACGAAGUUAAAUAUGGCUUAAAGACUCACACAAGCUAAGUAGUCUCCCCAAUCACGCUAUCCAGUUGACCAGAAAUACUUAAAUCUUUGGAAGGUAAAUUAUAUCAUUUAUCACAAUAUGUAAUAGAGCAUAUCGAAAUUACACGUGUAAAUUUAUUAUGCAUCUUUUUAUGCCCGUGCAUUUUAGUGAGUUAACAUUGACUUAACAAUCUCUGAUCAUGGGUUUGUUGAACCUUUCGAUGAUAAAGUGGUACGAUUUGUUACACACAGUUAAAAGUAUUGAAACAUAUCGACUUUCUCUGACAACUCGUACACCGGGACUUAUAGUAACACUUCCCGUGAUAUAUGGAUUAUAGAGACGAGGUCUGGACUACAAUAACAAUAAUAACUACAAGAGUAUCAAUCUGAAACCAGCGAGAACCACUCAAGUCAAUAUGUAAUAUGGUAAUACAAGGCAGAAAUAGAUGCGUUUUGUAGAUUGAGAAUUGAAAACGCCAAGAGUGUCGUAAAUUUGAUAGCGGGAUUUAUGUUUUGUAAUCAUCAGUUAGUCAUAAAUUUUGC
Dreissena polymorpha is the source of this 3115-nucleotide long non-coding RNA. RefSeq lists it as uncharacterized. The transcript is spliced from 4 exons. NCBI's taxonomy places the organism in Eukaryota, Metazoa, Mollusca, Bivalvia, Myida, Dreissenidae. The record is from RefSeq and is a predicted model, not a curated record.